CGAGGGGUGGUUCGCGGAGCACUGAUUAUAUAUAGCGUCUGUUUUUUUUUAUACUCGUCCAGAGUCUGGUGACAUGAGUUUGAAGAAGCUAUCUGCUGUGAAGGACAGCAGGAUGAUGGGCAUGUACAGGCAGACUGAAUGGUGUACGAAAAGUGGCGUACCUGGUCUUGGGUCUUCACAUACCGGAACCAUCCACGUCUUCUCCCUGGCCGCCGUUUACCUUCUCCACUCUCUCAUUCUGCACUGGAUGUCAGAGUGAGAUCAGCUGUGCUGAAUUUAUCCCCAGAGCUGCACGGAGGCUGCUUAACUCCAUAAGACUUGGUGUGAAUGAACUGUCUCGAUGGUCAACGUGCUCAAACCACUUUGAAUCAACUGCUGUAAAAUGAUACUAGAUAAAAAUGUUGUUUUACGAACCUUUGUUUUACUAUUACUGUCUGAACAGUACUUAGAACUUGACGGCAAUUCAUUUUCUAUUUACGUUAUAUUGUUCGCUGAUUUGAUACUGCCAAGUGAUUUAUGCCCAUGUGUUCACUGUAUAUCUGGUGAAAAUGACUUACUGUGUAUUUGUAUUUUUAAUGCUCGCAUGAUUGUAGAUAUCGCAUCCACCAGAUCCUAAAUGUCCUAGUAUAUGCUUUGUCGCCCUCAUUUGCGGUUCGAAUGAAUUGAUCGCGUAUUCAAUGAAGUAGAGUCGGAUUGAGCUUGCUCUGUACGUCCUCGGACAUGUUGCGCAGUUUCCAUUUAAGUUCCAUGUUGGUGAGAGCAAUUAAAUCGCUACUAGGAUGGUCUUGAAAUUUGUGAAAUUUAGCAUUUUUUUUUGGCAUGUAUAUAGUACAUAUUGGUGCUUAUCAAUAAUUCGAAAUAAAUAAAUAAACAGCCAGAUAGAUAGAUAGAUAUAUAGGUGGGUGGGGCUAAUUGUGAAUAAACCUUGCGUACGUCUGAUACCUAUAUUACACAUGCUUCACACAUAUAUAAGAUCCACUAUCCCCAUUUUCAUUGUUGACCUGAAAAAUCUUACAAAUUCCUGCCCUCUACUGCCCCCUAGUGCACAGGUUCCCAACCCUGGUCCAGGAACACAGGACAGGACAAGUGGUCCUACACAUUUUAGUGUUUUCCCUUCUUCCUACACAUUUGAUUCAACUAAUCAACUAAUUAAGAGCCCUUCCUGAGUUGAAGUGGCUGUGUUAGAGCAUUGAAAACACUAAAAUACACAGAACAUGGUGGUCUCCAGGACCAGGGUUGGAAACUUGAGCCACUUGCACAGUGGCAUGUCUGUUCAGGUGGUUCGGCUCGGAGUCUCAGACAGAGUGAUGUCAGUUAAGUGUGCUGUCAGUUAAGUGUGCUCGUUAGAAUAUUAGGCCACGCCCAUUCCAACCCUUCCCAGAUCAAUUCCUAAACGUCACUUUAGAGUUGCUUAGGAUUUGCGUAAAUGUCCGUUAUCUUUGGCUUCUUCCCAUUCAUGGAUCAUUUUUAAGUAAGAAAUAAC
Ictalurus punctatus (channel catfish) is the source of this 1483-nucleotide long non-coding RNA. The record is from Ensembl. Lineage: Eukaryota; Metazoa; Chordata; Actinopteri; Siluriformes; Ictaluridae.